GAGCCCGUGGCUCAAUGGUAGAGCAUUUGACUUCAAUACAAAAUUUCGCGGGUUCG
RNAcentral lists this transfer RNA (56 nucleotides) under Schistocephalus solidus. It matches the Rfam family "tRNA", at positions 1 to 55 of the family's 71-position model. From Rfam's summary of the family: Transfer RNA (tRNA) molecules are approximately 80 nucleotides in length. Their secondary structure includes four short double-helical elements and three loops (D, anti-codon, and T loops). The record is from Rfam by way of RNAcentral. Lineage: Eukaryota; Metazoa; Platyhelminthes; Cestoda; Diphyllobothriidea; Diphyllobothriidae.